AAACUCAAAUGAAUUGACGGGGACCCGCACAAGCAGCGGAGCGUGUGGUUUAAUUCGUUGCUACACGAAGAACCUUACCUGGGUUUGACAUAUAGGUUGUAGGGAACUGAAAAGGGACCGACCCUUCGGGGAGCCUAUACAGGUGUUGCAUGGCUGUCGUCAGCUCGUGUCGUGAGAUGUUCGGUUAAGUCCGCUAACGAGCGCAACCCUCGUCGUAUGUUAUAUGUGUCAUACGAGACUGCCGGUAAAAAGCCGGAGGAAGGUGGGAUGAUGUCAAGUCAGCAUGGCCUUUAUAUCCUGGGCUACACACACGCUACAAUGGCCAACACAAUAGGUUGCUAAGCCGCGAGGUGGCGCCAAUCCAUAAAGUUGGUCUCAGUUCAGAUUGUAGGCUACAACCCGCCUGCAUGAAGAUGGAGUUGCUAGUAACCGCAGGUCAGCUAUACUGCGGUGAAUACGUUCCCGGGGCUU
This 471-nucleotide ribosomal RNA is filed under the name uncultured Anaerolineaceae bacterium. RNAcentral describes it as "bacterial SSU rRNA". It matches the Rfam family "Bacterial small subunit ribosomal RNA", at positions 897 to 1382 of the family's 1533-position model. Lineage: Bacteria; Bacillati; Chloroflexota; Anaerolineae; Anaerolineales; Anaerolineaceae. The record is from RNAcentral.